GGCCCCACGUUCAGGCUCUGACUGUCCCGACUGGAACCUGACGCUGGCUUUGCUCCUGGAUAGCCGGGUGGCCCUGGGGUAACGCCGUUCACAUCUCCGUGCCUCUCUUUGCUCUUUGGUAAAAUGGCUGCAACAAUACAACCCUCCUCGUGGGCUUUUAUGAGCAUUAAAUAGACACACAGUUAGUGCUUGUACAGGCAGGGCAGGGAAACGCUUCUGUACGGCCCCGGGAAGCUGGAGACGUGACAUCGAGUGUGUCAGAACCGUGGAACGCACAGUGCAGGGUGAACCCUCGCGGACACUGCGGACUUCAGUGCAUAACGGCGCACUGGUUCAUCGCUGUAACAAGUGCGCCUGCUAAAAUGGCCCAGCCCCUUUGAGACUAGCCCCGUUGGGUCUACACACCAUGGCACGGGGCAAGUGACCCUGCACCCAUGCCUUGGCCUCAGCAUCUCAGCCCCUGACCAGCGUCCAGGUCGGUGCCAAGGAACUCUGAUGACACAGGCUUCCAACCAAGUAAUGAGAAGUUCCGCACACUCAGGACGCAACAGAAGAGAAAGGCUUCCUCUGACAGGAGAUCUCUGGGGAGCUGGCACACAGGAAAUCUUUGUCAAGUCUUGUACAUCCUUAGGCCAUCAAAACAAGGCUGACCA
Camelus dromedarius (Arabian camel) is the source of this 653-nucleotide long non-coding RNA. RefSeq lists it as uncharacterized. The transcript has 3 exons. The record is from RefSeq and is a predicted model, not a curated record. Lineage: Eukaryota; Metazoa; Chordata; Mammalia; Artiodactyla; Camelidae.